This 931-nucleotide ribosomal RNA is filed under the name uncultured bacterium. RNAcentral's name for it is "bacterial SSU rRNA". It matches the Rfam family "Bacterial small subunit ribosomal RNA", at positions 8 to 916 of the family's 1533-position model. The record is from RNAcentral.
AGAGUUUGAUCCUGGCUCAGAACGAACGCUGGCGGCGUGCCUAACACAUGCAAGUCGAGCGAGAAAGUCCGCAAGGAUGAGUAAAGCGGCGCACGGGUGCGUAACACGUGGGUAAUCUUCCUUGGAGCCCGGAAUAACUCCCCGAAAGGGGUGCUAAUACCGGAUAAGACCACGGGAUCUUCGGAUCCUGAGGGAAAAGGCGGCCUCUGUACACAAGCUGUCACUCCAAGAUGAGCCCGCGGCCCAUCAGCUAGUUGGCGGGGUAAUGGCCCACCAAGGCUACGACGGGUAGCUGGUCUGAGAGGACGAUCAGCCACACUGGAACUGAGACACGGUCCAGACUCCUACGGGAGGCAGCAGUGGGGAAUCUUGCGCAAUGGGCGAAAGCCUGACGCAGCAACGCCGCGUGUGUGAUGAAGGUCUUCGGAUCGUAAAGCACUGUCGGGAGGGACGAAUAAGGUGGCGGCUAACAUCCGUCGCUGAUGACGGUACCUCCAAAGGAAGCACCGGCUAACUCUGUGCCAGCAGCCGCGGUAAUACAGAGGGUGCUAGCGUUGUUCGGAAUUAUUGGGCGUAAAGCGCGUGUAGGCGGCCAGGCAAGUUGGGUGUGAAAGCCCUCGGUUUAACCGAGGAAGUGCGCCCAAAACUACUUGGCUUGAGUACCGGAGAAGGUGGCGGAAUUCCCGGUGUAGAGGUGAAAUUCGUAGAUAUCGGGAGGAACACCAGUGGCGAAGGCGGCCACCUGGACGGAUACUGACGCUGAGACGCGAAAGCGUGGGGAGCAAACAGGAUUAGAUACCCUGGUAGUCCACGCUGUAAACGAUGAGCGCUAGGUGUUGUGGGUGUUGACCCCUGCAGUGCCGCAGCUAACGCAUUAAGCGCUCCGCCUGGGAAGUACGGCCGCAAGGCUAAAACUCAAAGGAAUUGAUGG